This 253-nucleotide ribosomal RNA is filed under the name uncultured bacterium. RNAcentral's name for it is "partial 16S ribosomal RNA". It matches the Rfam family "Bacterial small subunit ribosomal RNA", at positions 524 to 776 of the family's 1533-position model. The record is from RNAcentral.
UACGGAGGGUGCAAGCGUUAUCCGGAUUCACUGGGUUUAAAGGGUGCGUAGGUGGGUUGGUAAGUCAGUGGUGAAAUCUCCGAGCUUAACUUGGAAACUGCCAUUGAUACUAUCAGUCUUGAAUACCGUGGAGGUCAGCGGAAUAUGUCAUGUAGCGGUGCAAUGCUUAGAUAUGACAUAGAACACCAAUUGCGAAGGCAGCUGACUACGCGAAUAUUGACACUGAUGCACGAAAGCGUGGGGAUCAAACAGG